CGCUAGUGUUGGAGGGUUUCCGCCCUUCAGUGCUGCAGCUAACGCAUUAAGCACUCCGCCUGGGGAGUACGACCGCAAGGUUGAAACUCAAAGGAAUUGACGGGGGCCCGCACAAGCGGUGGAGCAUGUGGUUUAAUUCGAAGCAACGCGAAGAACCUUACCAGGUCUUGACAUCCUUUGACCACUCUAGAGAUAGAGCUUCCCCUUCGGGGGCAAAGUGACAGGUGGUGCAUGGUUGUCGUCAGCUCGUGUCGUGAGAUGUUGGGUUAAGUCCCGCAACGAGCGCAACCCUUAUUGUUAGUUGCCAUCAUUCAGUUGGGCACUCUAGCAAGACUGCCGGUGACAAACCGGAGGAAGGUGGGGAUGACGUCAAAUCAUCAUGCCCCUUAUGACCUGGGCUACACACGUGCUACAAUGGGAAGUACAACGAGUUGCGAAGUCGCGAGGCUAAGCUAAUCUCUUAAAGCUUCUCUCAGUUCGGAUUGCAGGCUGCAACUCGCCUGCAUGAAGCCGGAAUCGCUAGUAAUCGCGGAUCAGCACGCCGCGGUGAAUACGUUCCCGGGCCUUGUACACACCGCCCGUCACACCACGAGAGUUUGUAACACCCGAAGUCGGUGAGGUAACCUUUUUGGAGCCAGCCGCCUAAGGUGGGAUAGAUGAUUGGGGUGAAGUCGUAACAAGGUAGCCGUAUCGGAAGGUGCGGCUGGAUCAACCUCCUAUGAGGGGAGGAC
RNAcentral lists this ribosomal RNA (731 nucleotides) under Enterococcus lactis. Its description in RNAcentral is "bacterial SSU rRNA". It matches the Rfam family "Bacterial small subunit ribosomal RNA", at positions 814 to 1533 of the family's 1533-position model. The record is from RNAcentral. Lineage: Bacteria; Bacillati; Bacillota; Bacilli; Lactobacillales; Enterococcaceae.